RNAcentral lists this ribosomal RNA (453 nucleotides) under uncultured bacterium. RNAcentral's name for it is "bacterial SSU rRNA". It matches the Rfam family "Bacterial small subunit ribosomal RNA", at positions 354 to 796 of the family's 1533-position model. The record is from RNAcentral.
GUGGGGAAUAUUGCGCAAUGGGCGAAAGCCUGACGCAGCGACGCCGCGUGGGUGAUGAAGGCCUUCGGGUCGUAAAGCCUUGUUGGAGAGGGACGAACAACUCAGGGGAACAACACCCCCUGGGCCUGACGGUACCUCUUCAGAAAGCACCGGCUAACUCCGUGCCAGCAGCCGCGGUAAUACGGAGGGUGCGAACGUUGUUCGGAAUUACUGGGCGUAAAGCGCGUGUAGGCGGCUUGGCAAGUCAGAUGUGAAAGCCCUCGGCUCAACCGAGGAAGUGCAUUUGAAACUGCCAGGAUAGAGUACGGGAGAGGGUUGUGGAAUUCCCGGUGUAGAGGUGAAAUUCGUAGAUAUCGGGAGGAACAUCGGUGGCGAAGGCGGCAACCUGGACCGAUACUGACGCUGAGACGCGAAAGCGUGGGGAGCAAACAGGAUUAGAAACCCUGGUAGUCC